GACGUAGGGCGCGAGCGUUGUCCGGAUUUAUUGGGCGUAAAGAGCUCGUAGGCGGCUUGUCGCGUCGUCUGUGAAAUCCCACGGCUCAACUGUGGGCUUGCAGUCGAUACGGGCAGACUAGAGUGUGGUAGGGGAGACUGGAAUUCCUGGUGUAGCGGUGAAAUGCGCAGAUAUCAGGAGGAACACCGGUGGCGAAGGCGGGUCUCUGGGCCACUACUGACGCUGAGGAGCGAAAGCGUGGGGAGCGAACAGG
Molecule: ribosomal RNA, 253 nt
Filed under: uncultured bacterium
Lineage: Bacteria
Description: partial 16S ribosomal RNA
Rfam family: Bacterial small subunit ribosomal RNA
Source: RNAcentral